AUUAAUGAAUUUUUUCCUUCAUUGGUCAUAUCCACAACUAUAAAGUCAAUCAAAAAUUCCAACUCAUCAAUCUGCACAAUUGCAUUUUCCACCAUUCCAACAGAUUUCUUCAUAGACCCAUCCGCCACUGUCAAGAUCACUUUGGUAGGCUUUAAUUUUACCCCUUUUAUCUUCUUGAAAUCACUGAGAGGCAUCAAAUUAAUGCUUGAUCCUGAAUCAAUCAAAGCCUUUCCUAAAUCCACAUCAUUGAUGACACAAGGAAGGGUCAAUGCUCCUGAAUCCUCUAGUUUCUGUGGAUGGUUCUUCUUCCUGGGUUUCACCCACUGCUCCUGAUUUUCUUCAUAGCCCAGAUCAAGUAACUUUUCCAGAUAGUACUUGAUCUUCUCAUCAUAUUCAAAAGUUUGUGAAGAUGUUCUAGGAUUAAUGAGUGCCUCCUUGAGAAUCUUGCGGAGUGAUUCUUUAAUAUCUUCCUUCUCCUUUUCUCUUUCUGCUUUCUUAUCUUCGCCUCUCUUAUGCUCAUUAUGAAUCCUUUCCUCCUCUUCGUCCUUACUGCUUCUGAUCUCAAUUGUUUCCUCCUCUGGCUUCCUUUU
RNAcentral lists this long non-coding RNA (590 nucleotides) under Vigna radiata. Its description in RNAcentral is "long non-coding RNA (VRAD_LNC012345)". Lineage: Eukaryota; Viridiplantae; Streptophyta; Magnoliopsida; Fabales; Fabaceae. The record is from RNAcentral.